CUCCUGAUGGUUAGCGGCGGACGGGUGAGUAACACGUAGGCAACCUGCCCUCAAGACUGGGAUAACUACCGGAAACGGUAGCUAAUACCGGAUAAUUUAUUUUGCAGCAUUGUGAAAUAAUGAAAGGCGGAGCAAUCUGUCACUUGAGGAUGGGCCUGCGGCGCAUUAGCUAGUUGGUGGGGUAACGGCCCACCAAGGCGACGAUGCGUAGCCGACCUGAGAGGGUGAACGGCCACACUGGGACUGAGACACGGCCCAGACUCCUACGGGAGGCAGCAGUAGGGAAUCUUCCGCAAUGGGCGAAAGCCUGACGGAGCAACGCCGCGGGAGUGAUGAAGGUUUUCGGAUCGUAAAGCUCUGUUGCCAAGGAAGAACGUCUUCUAGAGUAACUGCUAGGAGAGUGACGGUCUUGAGAAGAAAGCCCCGGCUAACUACGUGCCAGCAGCCGCGGUAAUACGUAGGGGGCAAGCGUUGUCCGGAAUUAUUGGGCGUAAAGCGCGCGCAGGCGGUUCUUUAAGUCUGGUGUUUAAACCCGAGGCUCAACUUCGGGUCGCACUGGAAACUGGGGAACUUGAGUGCAGAAGAGGAGAGUGGAAUUCCACGUGUAGCGGUGAAAUGCGUAGAUAUGUGGAGGAACACCAGUGGCGAAGGCG
This 653-nucleotide ribosomal RNA is filed under the name Paenibacillus sp. AT-BI-45. RNAcentral describes it as "bacterial SSU rRNA". It matches the Rfam family "Bacterial small subunit ribosomal RNA", at positions 82 to 723 of the family's 1533-position model. Lineage: Bacteria; Bacillati; Bacillota; Bacilli; Caryophanales; Paenibacillaceae. The record is from RNAcentral.